GUUUGGUGUCUCCUGUCCAUUGCGAGGAAAUGAGUUAUGCAUUCAAGCAUCAAAUUUAUUUUGGAACAAGACAUCAAGGUGAAGUUGCGAUCUCCAUUUUUGUUGUGAUUCUCUGAAAAAAUAUCAUGAAAAGUAUUUUGUUUGCAUUCGAUCCUAGAUUUUUUCUCAAACCAUAUUUAAUUUCAUAAAUAUCAUAUUAUCAUGUAGUGAUCACAGUCUGGAAUCUGGAAUGCUAUUGAUGCAAUUACAACUGGCUCAAAUUCUGACAACAAAAGGUGCGUAAAAUUUGAUGCCACUAAUUUGAAUUUUUUUUGCUGUUAAAUCCUCUCUCCAGUGGUGUUUUUGUCACCCCUGUGCAAGUCGCUUCUCUUCAGUUCAUCUCUAUUUUACUGCCCAUUCAAAGGACUGCUUGAUCUUCUCAAUUGUUUGAAUGAGAUUACAAUGACAACAGCUUCCAUUCAACCAAAGAAUGGUUUUUCUACAUCAAGUCAGCGUGAAUUGUGGUUUCACAAGGUUUGUUCUACUCGAGAUGUUUUGGAAGAUUGGAGAAAUAAGAAGCUUUAACACGACGUAUAUCUGAUGAAUAUGGCCAUGGAUAAGAAGUGGCAAGGGCGUCCCAGAUGAAAGAUCUUUGUUGAGAGAAUUAUAACUUAUUUCUUGCAGGUAUGAGGGGAUAUCUCCUAUUUAUAUUGAGUUGAUAGUGUGGCUCAUUUUAGUGUGGCUAAGUUAAGAUGGUGGUUUUGUCUGUUGGUACUACGAUAGGCCGAUAGCCAUGGCGUGAUAUAUCUGUUUUGUGUCGAUAAGCCAGGUAGGGGUUGUGGGCAUGGACUAACCUCAUAGAUGUGGGUGUGACAGUUGAACUGAUAGCACUGCAAUUAUGAGUUGUUGAUUGCACAUUAGGGUCUGGGAUUGUGGCCAUGUUAUCGUAGAGGCACCACCACCAUGGUAGUGCGAUUGUGGCGAGUCAACAAUGUGGGUUUGGCUAAGUUAAGUCAGUGG
Molecule: long non-coding RNA, 999 nt
Filed under: Zostera marina
Lineage: Eukaryota; Viridiplantae; Streptophyta; Magnoliopsida; Alismatales; Zosteraceae
Description: long non-coding RNA (ZMAR_LNC003838)
Source: RNAcentral